AUCCUGGCUUAGGACGAACGCUGGCGGCGUGCUUAACACAUGCAAGUCGAACGAGGUUAGAGACUCGGUUUUGACCGAGUGGCGGACGGGUGAGUAACGCGUGAGCAAUCUGUCCCAGACAGGGGGAUAACAACUGGAAACAGUUGCUAAUACCGCAUAAGACCACGAAGUCGCAUGGCUUUGAGGUAAAAGGAGUAAUCCGGUUUGGGGUGAGUUCGCGUCUGAUUAGAUAGUUGGCGAGGUAACGGCUCACCAAGUCGACGAUCAGUAGCCGACCUGAGAGGGUGACCGGCCACAUUGGGACUGAGACACGGCCCAGACUCCUACGGGAGGCAGCAGUGGGGAAUAAUUGGGCAAUGGGGGAAACCCUGACCCAGCAACGCCGCGUGAGGGAAGAAGGUUUUCGGAUUGUAAACCUCUGUCCUUGGGGACGAACAAAUGACGGUACCCGAGGAGGAAGCCCCGGCUAACUACGUGCCAGCCGCCGC
This 488-nucleotide ribosomal RNA is filed under the name uncultured bacterium. RNAcentral describes it as "bacterial SSU rRNA". It matches the Rfam family "Bacterial small subunit ribosomal RNA", at positions 16 to 518 of the family's 1533-position model. The record is from RNAcentral.